Molecule: unclassified non-coding RNA, 317 nt
Filed under: Hevea brasiliensis (rubber tree)
Lineage: Eukaryota; Viridiplantae; Streptophyta; Magnoliopsida; Malpighiales; Euphorbiaceae
Source: RNAcentral
CCUAGAUUAGAGAAGGUUUCACACUAGUAAUUCAAAAAGGAAUCGAAAACAGUCAGGCUAUGAUCACCGCAGAACUGGGGAGAAGAGAAGAUUUUCAGCCAUCGCACUCUCUUAUAGGUUUUAAGAGACCGAAAGCCACAGAUCAGCUCUUUGAACGUCUCUCAGGUUCCCUUAUCUAUAGAAAUAAUCAUCAACAAGAAGGAAACAUACCCAGCAGGCUAAAAUAAACCUUACCAUGAAGCUCAAUGCUUGCAAUCCAAAACCUAAAUAAAACUAUACACAAAAAGGGAAACACACUUCUCUAGACAAGAAAGGCC